AACGCACGAGACCUGCGGACCUGCGGAAGGAUCAUUAAUGAGAAGCUGCCCCUCGUGGGUAGACCUCCCACCCUCUGUGAACUUACCUUUGUUGCUUUGGCAGGCCCGUCCUCUGGACCGCCGGCUUCGGCUGGCCCGUGCCUGCCAGAGGAUUCCAAACCCUGUCUGUCAGUGUUGUCUGAGUCUAUAUGAAAUCGUUAAAACUUUCAACAACGGAUCGCUAGAUCGGAAGAGCACACG
RNAcentral lists this unclassified non-coding RNA (240 nucleotides) under soil metagenome. RNAcentral's name for it is "partial contains 5.8S ribosomal RNA, internal transcribed spacer 2, and large subunit ribosomal RNA". The record is from RNAcentral.